CCCUUAGAUGUCCGGGGCCGCACGCGCGCUACACUGAAGGAAUCAGCGUGGCUUUCUCCCUGACCCGAAAGGGUUGGGAAACCCGUUGAAUCUCCUUCGUGAUAGGGAUUGGGGCUUGAAAUUGUUCCCCAUGAACGAGGAAUUCCCAGUAAGCGCGGGUCAUCAUCCCGCGCUGAAUACGUCCCUGCCCUUUGUACACACCGCCCGUCGCUCCUACCGAUUGAGUGGUCCGGUGAGGCUUUGGGAUCUGAGCGGAAAGAGCGUUUCGCUGUUUCUGCUCGGAAAACUCAGUCGAACCUUAUCAUUUAGAGGAAGGAGAAGUCGUAACA
RNAcentral lists this ribosomal RNA (329 nucleotides) under uncultured eukaryote. Its description in RNAcentral is "partial 18S ribosomal RNA". It matches the Rfam family "Eukaryotic small subunit ribosomal RNA", at positions 1470 to 1796 of the family's 1831-position model. The record is from RNAcentral.